RNAcentral lists this ribosomal RNA (430 nucleotides) under uncultured bacterium. RNAcentral's name for it is "bacterial SSU rRNA". It matches the Rfam family "Bacterial small subunit ribosomal RNA", at positions 29 to 504 of the family's 1533-position model. The record is from RNAcentral.
AAUGAACGCUGGCGGCAUGCCUAACACAUGCAAGUCGAACGAAGGCUUCGGCCUUAGUGGCGCACGGGUGCGUAACGCGUGGGAAUCUGCCCUCAGGUUCGGAAUAACAGCGAGAAAUUGCUGCUAAUACCGGAUGAUAUCGCGAGAUCAAAGAUUUAUCGCCUGAGGAUGAGCCCGCAUAGGAUUAGCUAGUUGGUGUGGUAAAGGCGCACCAAGGCGACGAUCCCUGGCUGGUCUGAGAGGAUGAUCAGCCACACUGGGACUGAGACACGGCCCAGACUCCUACGGGAGGCAGCAGUGGGGAAUAUUGGACAAUGGGCGAAAGCCUGAUCCAGCAAUGCCGCGUGAGUGAUGAAGGCCUUAGGGUUGUAAAGCUCUUUUACCCGGGAUGAUAAUGACAGUACCGGGAGAAUAAGCUCCGGCUAACUCC